This 1888-nucleotide ribosomal RNA is filed under the name Triticum aestivum (bread wheat). Its description in RNAcentral is "partial small subunit ribosomal RNA". The record is from RNAcentral. Lineage: Eukaryota; Viridiplantae; Streptophyta; Magnoliopsida; Poales; Poaceae.
GCGUCCAAAUUACUCGUGAAAGCCAGCGUCUAUCGCCAGUUUGCCACCAUUAAACCCAUUCACCCCUUUCCUAAGCCCUCCCCGCUCCCACCCGACCCCUCGACCAUGUCCCCCAGGAAGGACGCCGGCCCCUCGCCGGCGGCGGCGCCCGCCACCGCGCCUGCCCUAACGCCUUCCCCAUUCAUGCCCAUGUGUCAGAUGCGGCGGGAUGAGUGCGCAGACCUCCUCAAGCUGAUCUCAGGCGUCUCGCGCCCGCUCGAGGACGUCGUGGCGGAUUUCCUCGCCCGCGUCCCGCCCGAGCGCCGCCUCCGCUUCGGUUCCGCCAUCAAGUUUCUCCUCGAGGACAAGGUGAUGUUUCAACCAGCUGAGCGUUUAAUUGCAUUUGCAAUUCUUCAUCAAGGGUAUUCCUCACAGCUGACAAAUCCGUUUGUUCCAUUCUUAAUAAAUGUUGCCUGUGAUGAAAUUUCUGAGAGACCAGAACGUGUUUUUCUCCAGCUUUUGCUAACUUCAGCUAAUGAGGACAACAAUAAGGAGAUCUUGAAACAGUCUGCAGAAGAUUACUUGAAGGAGCCUUCUUAUGCAUCUCAGGUGUUGCUGCCAAAAGACCGUCUUGAAAGCCAAUACUCCUGCAAUGAUGUUCAGCUACAGACAUACACCAGUUGCGCAGCUGCUACGGUUAGAAGUGCUAUUCCUGACCCAGAUGUUUCCCAAAGCUGUGGUGAUUCAUCAGGAAUAUCACCGACCAAACUAAAUAGAGAUAAUGUGGUGACGAAUUUACUUCAACAAACACCACUGAGAGGAUUGUCUCCUCCAUGGAUUAGGCCCUCUCCCCCCAGACUUGAAAUACUUGAAGGGGAGUUGCAGUGGUUGAACCUGGACAACAACCAUGAGCUACUAUGGGAUAGUAGCAUGUGUGCUGACACUAGCCGAGGAGCUUCAAUCCGUGAUUUGGUCGGAAGAGCCUGUAAAGGACCACUUGCCCCUGCCCAACAAGAGCAAGUUGUUUUAGACUUAGCCAGGGACUGGAAGCUAGUUUAUCAUUGCGGAAUGACACCAGAGAAGCUUCCCGACCUUGUUGAACAUAAUCCACUCAUUGCUGUUGAUGUUCUUUCAAAGCUGAUCAAUUGUCCUGACAUGGAUUCUUAUUUCAAUGUUCUUGUGCACAUGGAAAUGAGCCUGCAUUCAAUGGAAGUUGUAAACAGGCUUACUACAGCAGUAGAUCUACCACCAGGAUUCAUUCAUGACUACAUCUCAAAUUGUAUUCGGUCAUGCCAAAAUAUCAAGGAUAAGUACAUGCAAAACAGACUUGUGAGACUAGUUUGUGUUUUUCUACAGAGUCUCAUUCGGAACAAGAUAAUAAAUGUUGAAGAUCUAUUCAUUGAGGUACAAGCCUUCUGCAUUGCGUUUUCUCGAAUAAGAGAAGCAGCUGGUUUGUUCAGGCUUCUCAAAUCUCUAGAGUGAAGAAGGUUGUAUGAGUUACCGGAGUUCAGCUCUAUAAACAAAAAUUUUCAUGCUGUACAUUCAUAGUCUUAUAUUUUCGUGUUGAUCUGCCAAUUCAGGGCUGUACUUCAUAGAUCAUAGCCCUUGUUGAUGUAUUUAUUGUCAUUAAGCUGUUCCCCUCACCUAAAGAAAGGUCAAGAGAUAUCAGAACCGUUACCCAGGCUUUGAUAGUUCCGCCAAAUCAUUUUGAUGUGGACUUAAACCACAUGUUCUUCAGCUGAGACAAAUUAGCAAUUACCUUUAGCCUGUUGAAAGAUAGCUGAACAAUGGGCGCCUGCUUCUCGGUUCAGGCUCCCGAGUACCAGUAAUUUGAGAGAUUUCUUAAUUUAAAUUCAGAUGUAAAGACUAGUUGUACUCAUUUGUGUGAUGUUUUGUUGGGUUACUUGGG